This 2882-nucleotide ribosomal RNA is filed under the name human gut metagenome. RNAcentral describes it as "bacterial LSU rRNA". It matches the Rfam family "Bacterial large subunit ribosomal RNA". The record is from RNAcentral.
UUAAGCAAAGAAGAGCGCAGGGUGGAUGCCUUGGCACUAAGAGCCGAAGAAAGACGUGAUAAGCUGCGAAAAGCUGCGGGGAGAUGCAAAUAAUCCUUGAUCCGCAGAUGUCUGAAUGGGGAAACCCGGUACGAAGAACUCGUAUCAUCCAUACGCCAAUCCAUAACGUAUGGAGGGGAACCCGGUGAACUGAAACAUCUAAGUAGCCGGAGGAAGAGAAAGAAACAUCGAUUUUGUUAGUAGCGGCGAGCGAAAGCGAAAGAGGCCAAACCGGAGUGCGUGCACUCCGGGGUUCGGACCGCAUUUAAGAUUCAGUGAUUCUAGCAGAAAGGUUUGGGAAAGCCUGCCGGAGAGGGUGAAAGCCCCGUAAGCGAAAGGAAAGCUGACUGAGCGGGAUCCAGAGUACAUCGAGACACGAGAAACCUUGAUGGAAUGAGCGGGGACCACCCCGUAAGCCUAAAUACUACUUAGUGACCGAUAGCGCAUAGUACUGUGAAGGAAAGGUGAAAAGGACCCCGGGAGGGGAGUGAAAGAGAACCUGAAACCCUGUGUUUACAAGCUGUGGAAGUUCUUUAAAUGAACAACCGCGUACUUUUUGUAGAACGGUCCGGCGAGUUGCGGAUACUGGCAAGGUUAAGCACUUAAGGUGCGGAGCCGAAGGGAUACCAAGUCUUAACAGGGCGUUAAGUCAGUAUACGCAGACCCGAAACCGGGUGAUCUAUCCAUGUCCAGGUUGAAGUUGUCGUAAAAGACAAUGGAGGACCGAAGCCACAUCCGUUGAAAAGGGUGGGCAUGAGGUGUGGAUAGGGGAGAAAUUCCAAUCGAACCCGGAGAUAGCUGGUUCUCCUCGAAAUAGCUUUAGGGCUAGCCUCGAUUUAGUCUUAUGGAGGUAGAGCACUGAAUUUCCGCGGGGGCGUCAAAGCUUACCAAAGAAUAUCAAACUCCGAAUGCCAUGUAGAUGAUGAUCGGGAGUCAGACUGCACGAGAUAAGUUGGGCAGUCAAAAGGGAAAGAGCCCAGACCACCGGCUAAGGUCCCAAAGUGCGUGUUAAGUGGAAAAGGAUGUGGGAAUUCGAAGACAACUAGGAUGUUGGCUCAGAAGCAGCCAUACAUUCAAAGAGUGCGUAACAGCUCACUAGUCGAGAGUUCCUGCGCCGAAAAUGUCCGGGGCUGAAACACGACACCGAAGCCGUGGACUCGCAAUGCGAGUGGUAGAGGAGCAUUCUUAAAACCGACGAAGCUGUACCGAAAGGAGCAGUGGAGGGAUAAGAAGAGAGAAUGCCGGAAUGAGUAGCGAGAGAAAGGUGGGAAUCCUUUCGGCCGAAUAUCUAAGGUUUCCAGAGUAAAGCUGAUCUGCUCUGGGUAAGUCGGGGCCUAAGCACAGGUCGCAAGACGUAAGCGAUGGAUAACAGGUUUAGAUUCCUGUACCACGCAUUAUCAGAACUGUAGGGACGCAUGUGGAAAGCACGAGCCGGGAAUGGAAAGACCGGUACAAGCGGGGUAGGUGUACAAUAGGCAAAUCCGUUGUAUAAUCCGAAGACGUGAUGUGGAGCGAAAUAAAGUAGCAAAGCGUGUGAGCCAUGUGCCGAGAAAAGCUGCUAUUGUGUAAUGCGUGCCCGUACCGUAAACCGACACAGGUGGAUGAGGAGAGAAUCCUAAGGCCGACGGAAGAAGCAUUGUUAAGGAAUUCGGCAAAAUGACCCCGUAACUUCGGGAGAAGGGGUGCCUGCGAGAGCAGGCCGCAGAGAAUAGGCUCAAGCAACUGUUUAGCAAAAACACAGGUCUAUGCGAAACCGAAAGGUGAAGUAUAUGGGCUGACGCCUGCCCGGUGCUGGAAGGUUAAGAGGAGAGGUUAGCUUCGGCGAAGCUUUGAAUUUAAGCCCCAGUAAACGGCGGCCGUAACUAUAACGGUCCUAAGGUAGCGAAAUUCCUUGUCGGGUAAGUUCCGACCCGCACGAAAGGCGUAAUGAUUUGAGCACUGUCUCGACAAUGCAUCCGGUGAAAUUGAAGUACCAGUGAAGAUGCUGGUUACCCGCGCCAGGACGGAAAGACCCCAUGGAGCUUUACUCCAGUUUGAUACUGGGAUUCGGUACUGCAUGUACAGGAUAGGUGGGAGACGAAGAAGGAUGGACGCCAGUCUGUCCGGAGUCGCUGUUGGGAUACCACCCCUGUAGUACUGGGUUUCUAACCAGUUGCCAUGAACUGGCAAUGGGACAAUGUCAGGCGGGGAGUUUGACUGGGGCGGUCGCCUCCGAAAGGGUAUCGGAGGCGCUCAAAGGUUCCCUCAGAAUGGUUGGAAACCAUUCGAAGAGUGCAAAGGCAGAAGGGAGCUUGACUGCGACACCGACGGGUGGAGCAGGUACGAAAGUAGGACUUAGUGAUCCGGUGGUAUAAAGUGGGAUUGCCAUCGCUCAACGGAUAAAAGCUACCCUGGGGAUAACAGGCUUAUCACUCCCAAGAGUUCACAUCGACGGAGUGGUUUGGCACCUCGAUGUCGGCUCAUCGCAUCCUGGGGCUGUAGCAGGUCCCAAGGGUUGGGCUGUUCGCCCAUUAAAGCGGUACGCGAGCUGGGUUCAGAACGUCGUGAGACAGUUCGGUCCCUAUCCGGCGCGGGCGGAGGAUAUUUGAGAGGAGCUGUCCUUAGUACGAGAGGACCGGGAUGGACGGACCACUGGUGUAUCUGUUGUCGACCAACGGCAUGGCAGAGUAGCCAAGUCUGGAAGGGAUAAACGCUGAAGGCAUCUAAGCGUGAAGCCCCCCUCAAGAUGAGAUAUCCCUCCUUCGGGAGUAAGACCCCUUGAAGACUACAAGGUAGAUAGGGCAGAGGUGGAAGCAUGGCAACAUGUGGAGCUGACUGUUACUAAUAGGUCGAGGGCUUAAUCU